Molecule: ribosomal RNA, 253 nt
Filed under: uncultured bacterium
Lineage: Bacteria
Description: partial 16S ribosomal RNA
Rfam family: Bacterial small subunit ribosomal RNA
Source: RNAcentral
UACGAAGGGGGCUAGCGUUGCUCGGAAUCACUGGGCGUAAAGGGUGCGUAGGCGGGGCUUUAAGUCAGGGGGGAAAUCCUGGAGCUCAACUCCAGAACUGCCUUUGAUACUGAAGAUCUUGAGUUCGGGAGAGGUGAGUGGAACUGCGAGUGUAGAGGUGAAAUUCGUAGAUAUUCGCAAGAACACCAGUGGCGAAGGCGGCUCACUGGCCCGAUACUGACGCUGAGGUGCGAAAGCGUGGGGAGCAAACAGG